RNAcentral lists this long non-coding RNA (466 nucleotides) under Physcomitrium patens. RNAcentral's name for it is "long non-coding RNA (PPAT_LNC006141)". Lineage: Eukaryota; Viridiplantae; Streptophyta; Bryopsida; Funariales; Funariaceae. The record is from RNAcentral.
CUAGCUUGAAGUUCUUUUUAAAGUCAUAAGAAUUGUUUUGAGAGGGUUUUGGAAGACUUAGCAAUUGUUGUUCAAAGUCAGAGUUUGUAUCAAUGAUUUGGGUUUUAUUUAAUAUAAUUAGGGCUAGCAAUUUUGGCUAGUUCGUACAAAUUGUGUGAUAUCUACAGUUGAAAAUUUAAAACUAUUUGGAUUAUUGAGUGUGCUAAGUGUAUAAAAAAUUUUGUGAUAAUCUAACUAUGGGGUUUAGAUUUAUCAAGUUUUUAGCACAAGAAGGUUUCAGAAGGUGGCAGUUUGAGGUUGGAUAGAAUUUCUAUGAUAUUUGAAGAUCUAUCAGUCGGAUUAAGGUAAAAAUUAGCAUGGACUUGGAAGAUUUAAAGAUCAAGCUACAUACCAAUUUUGAGACAUAGUUAAUAGUUGAAGAAGGAGAAAUCAUUGCUGGGAUUUUUGCUUAUUUUUUUUCAAGUUG